AGAAAAUUUGUGGAUUUCAAGUAAUCAUGCAAUCAAAGGUGGUGGAUCCUUCGAUAAAGGCAAAGAAAUUGUACCCGAGGAUCGAUAGUCAGAGUACUCUAAAAAUUUGACUCUUGAAAUAGCUCAAAAUAGGCUGUAGAUAGCUGAUUUCACCGAGGCUAC
This is a non-coding RNA of Theobroma cacao (cacao), 162 nucleotides long. The record is from RefSeq and is a predicted model, not a curated record. NCBI's taxonomy places the organism in Eukaryota, Viridiplantae, Streptophyta, Magnoliopsida, Malvales, Malvaceae.